AACGAACGCUGGCGGCAUGCCUAACACAUGCAAGUCGAACGAGACCUUCGGGUCUAGUGGCGCACGGGUGCGUAACGCGUGGGAACCUGCCCUUAGGUUCGGAAUAACUCCCCGAAAGGGGUGCUAAUACCGGAUAAUGUCUUCGGACCAAAGAUUUAUCGCCUUUGGAUGGGCCCGCGUUGGAUUAGCUAGUUGGUAGGGUAAAAGCCUACCAAGGCGACGAUCCAUAGCUGGUCUGAGAGGAUGAUCAGCCACACUGGGGCUGAGACACGGCCCAGACUCCUACGGGAGGCAGCAGUGGGGAAUAUUGGAAAAUGGGCGGAGGCCUGAUCCAGCAAUGCCGCGUGAGUGAUGAAGGCCUUAGGGUUGUAAAGCUAUUUUACCCGGGAUGAUAAUGACAGUACCGGGAGAAUAAGCUCCGGCUAACUCCGUG
This 433-nucleotide ribosomal RNA is filed under the name uncultured bacterium. RNAcentral describes it as "partial 16S ribosomal RNA". It matches the Rfam family "Bacterial small subunit ribosomal RNA", at positions 29 to 507 of the family's 1533-position model. The record is from RNAcentral.